UACGUAGGGGGCAAGCGUUGUCCGGAUUUAUUGGGCGUAAAGAGCGUGUAGGCGGCUAGAUAGGUCCGUUGUGAAAACUCGAGGCUCAACCUCGAGACGUCGAUGGAAACCGUAUGGCUAGAGUCCGGAAGAGGAGAGUGGAAUUCCUGGUGUAGCGGUGAAAUGCGCAGAUAUCAGGAAGAACACCCGUGGCGAAGGCGGCUCUCUGGGACGGUACUGACGCUGAGACGCGAAAGCGUGGGGAGCGAACAGG
This 253-nucleotide ribosomal RNA is filed under the name uncultured bacterium. Its description in RNAcentral is "partial 16S ribosomal RNA". It matches the Rfam family "Bacterial small subunit ribosomal RNA", at positions 524 to 776 of the family's 1533-position model. The record is from RNAcentral.